RNAcentral lists this unclassified non-coding RNA (391 nucleotides) under soil metagenome. RNAcentral describes it as "partial contains 5.8S ribosomal RNA, internal transcribed spacer 2, and large subunit ribosomal RNA". The stretch from base 1 to 122 matches the Rfam family "5.8S ribosomal RNA", at positions 35 to 154 of the family's 154-position model. The record is from RNAcentral.
GAUGAAGAACGUAGCGAAAUGCGAUACUUGGUGUGAAUUGCAGAAUCCCGUGAACCAUCGAGUCUUUGAACGCAAGUUGCGCCCGAAGCCAUUAGGCCGAGGGCACGCCUGCCUGGGCGUCACACGUCGUUGCCCCCCCAUCUACUCCUUCGGGAUUGCGGGGGGCGGAUGAUGGCCUCCCGUGCGCCUCGUCGCGCGGUUGGCAUAAAUGCCAAGUCCUCGGCGACGCACGCCACGACAAUCGGUGGUUGCGAAACCUCGGUUGCCCGUCGUGUGCGGUCGUCGCGCAUCGAGGGCUCGAAAAAAUUGCCGGGCUCCGGCUCGGCUUUCAACGCGACCCCAGGUCAGGCGGGGUUACCCGCUGAAUUUAAGCAUAUCAAUAAGCGGGGGA